AAAUCUGGUUGAUCCUGCCAGAGGCGACCGCUUUUGGAGUUCGAUUAAGCCAUGCGAGUAGAAAGAAAUUAGAUUCUUUGCGAACUGCUCAGUAACACGUGGAUAACCUGCCCUAUGCUCCGGAAUAACCUCGGGAAACUGAGAAUAAUACCGGAUAGAUCACAACGCCUGGAACGGUGUGUGGUUCAAAGGUCACGGCAUAGGAUGGGUCUGCGGCGUAUCAGGUCGUAGGGGGUGUAAAGGACCUCCUAGCCAUCGACGCGUACGGGUGUUGGGAGACAUAGCCCGGAGAUGGAUUCUGAGACACGAAUCCAGGCCCUAC
This 322-nucleotide ribosomal RNA is filed under the name Methanobacteriota archaeon. RNAcentral's name for it is "bacterial SSU rRNA". It matches the Rfam family "Archaeal small subunit ribosomal RNA", at positions 1 to 326 of the family's 1478-position model. The record is from RNAcentral. Lineage: Archaea; Methanobacteriati; Methanobacteriota.